CGGGUGAGUAACACGUGGACAACCUGCCUCAAGGCUGGGGAUAACAUUUGGAAACAGAUGCUAAUACCGAAUAAAACUUAGUGUCGCAUGACACAAAGUUAAAAGGCGCUUCGGCGUCACCUAGAGGUGGAUCCGCGGUGCAUUAGUUAGUUGGUGGGGUAAAGGCCUACCAAGACAAUGAUGCAUAGCCGAGUUGAGAGACUGAUCGGCCACAUUGGGACUGAGACACGGCCCAAACUCCUACGGAGGCAGCAUG
This 256-nucleotide ribosomal RNA is filed under the name uncultured bacterium. RNAcentral's name for it is "partial 16S ribosomal RNA". It matches the Rfam family "Bacterial small subunit ribosomal RNA", at positions 103 to 353 of the family's 1533-position model. The record is from RNAcentral.